RNAcentral lists this ribosomal RNA (1234 nucleotides) under Gymnogongrus sp. FredericqS_19.i.95_2. RNAcentral describes it as "bacterial SSU rRNA". The stretch from base 1 to 554 matches the Rfam family "Eukaryotic small subunit ribosomal RNA", at positions 1257 to 1831 of the family's 1831-position model. The record is from RNAcentral. Lineage: Eukaryota; Rhodophyta; Florideophyceae; Gigartinales; Phyllophoraceae.
CUUUCUUGAUUCUAUGGUUGGUGGUGCAUGCCCGUUCUUAGUGGUGGAGUGAUCUGUCUGGUUAAUUCCGUUAACGAGCAAGACCUGGGCGUGCUAGCUAGGCGCCAGUACCGUUUUUUGGUACUGAGGCUUGCCUUCCUAGACGGACUGUGGGCGUCUAGUCCACGNAAGCUCCAGGCAAUAACAGGUCUGAGAUGCCCUUAGAUGUUCUGGGCCGCACGCGUGCUACACUGAGCGGGUCAACGGGUGAGGAUGUGCGAGAGCGCUUCCUAAUCUCUAAAUCCGCUCGUGCUGGGGAUCGAGGCUUGCAAUUUUCCCUCUUGAACGAGGAAUACCUUGUAAGCGUGGGUCAUCAUCCCGCGCUGAAUACGUCCCUGCCCUUUGUACACACCGCCCGUCGCUCCUACCGAUUGAGUGGUCCGGUGAGGCCUUGGGAGGGAUGGAUGGAUUGUGUUUCACAAACUAUCUGGCCCAAACUUGGUCAAACCUUAUCACUUAGAGGAAGGAGAAGUCGUAACAAGGUUUCCGUAGGUGAACCUGCGGAAGGAUCAUUCGUAGUGGGAUGACAGGCUGAAAGCGGCGAUUCCGCCGUUUUUAGCCAGUCUUUCUAUCAUGUUUCGCGCACAACUUUUUAACAUAUCUUUUUUUUAUCAAACCAAACCCAUACUAUUAACAAUAAAAACCAAAAACAAACAAAUUGAAAACUCGUGACGGUGGAUGUCUAGGCUCCAGCAACGAUGAAGAACGCAGCAAAAUGCGAUACGUAGUGCGAAUUGCAGAAUCCGUGAAUCAUCGAAUCUUUGAACGCAAGUUGCGCUCGCGGGCAAUCCUGCGAGCAUGUCUGUUUGAGUGUCCGCACAAAUGAGACUUUUGCUUCUUUCCAACAGUGGAAGGAGCUGCUGAUGGGUGUUUCUGUCCAUGUGAUUAAAAACCGCGUGGUGCAGAAGUUUUCCGUGCAACCCGAGAGGGGGAAGCGGUCACCUGAAGAAUAGCUUUGUAUGGGAUGUUGUUCUUGUCGAUUUUUUUGCAAGUUUUUGCUUGGCGCACUUCUUUGUUUAGGGGUGUUGUGCAGAGCGGUUGUGGAAGGUGCAACCGCAAGAUCGACUAGACAAUGCUUUUCCCGCAGGAGUAGAAAUACACCACUGAAGGAAAUGGCAGAGAAUGGUUGAUUUCGGGCAAAAUGCCCUCUGUAUGGCCAUGUGUUGGCUUGUUGAAAGGAAAAGACGGGUCUUCA